This 253-nucleotide ribosomal RNA is filed under the name uncultured bacterium. Its description in RNAcentral is "partial 16S ribosomal RNA". It matches the Rfam family "Bacterial small subunit ribosomal RNA", at positions 524 to 776 of the family's 1533-position model. The record is from RNAcentral.
UACAGAGGGUGCAAGCGUUAAUCGGAAUUACUGGGCGUAAAGCGUGCGUAGACGGUAGCGUAAGUCGGGUGUGAAAGCCCCGGGCUCAACCUGGGAAUUGCAUUCGAGACUGCUCUGCUAGGGUGCGGAAGAGGGAAGCGGAAUUUCCGGUGUAGCGGUGAAAUGCGUAGAGAUCGUAAGGAGGACCAGUGGCGAAGGCGAGUUUCUGGACAGUUACUGACGCUGAGGCACGAAGGCCAGGGGAGCAAACGGG